This 228-nucleotide ribosomal RNA is filed under the name uncultured bacterium. RNAcentral's name for it is "partial 16S ribosomal RNA". It matches the Rfam family "Bacterial small subunit ribosomal RNA", at positions 568 to 796 of the family's 1533-position model. The record is from RNAcentral.
UGCGUAGGUGGUCUUUUAAGUCAGAAGUGAAAGGCAUUGGCUCAACCAAUGUAAGCUUUUGAAACUGAAAGACUUGAGUGCAGGAGAGGUAAGUGGAAUUCCUAGUGUAGCGGUGAAAUGCGUAGAUAUUAGGAGGAACACCAGUGGCGAAGGCGACUUACUGGACUGUUACUGACACUGAGGCACGAAAGCGUGGGGAGCGAACAGGAUUAGAUACCCUGGUAGUCC